GAUGAACGCUGGCGGCGUGCCUAAUACAUGCAAGUCGAGCGAACAGACGAGGAGCUUGCUCCUCUGACGUUAGCGGCGGACGGGUGAGUAACACGUGGAUAACCUACCUAUAAGACUGGGAUAACUUCGGGAAACCGGAGCUAAUACCGGAUAAUAUAUUGAACCGCAUGGUUCAAUAGUGAAAGACGGUUUUGCUGUCACUUAUAGAUGGAUCCGCGCCGCAUUAGCUAGUUGGUAAGGUAACGGCUUACCAAGGCAACGAUGCGUAGCCGACCUGAGAGGGUGAUCGGCCACACUGGAACUGAGACACGGUCCAGACUCCUACGGGAGGCAGCAGUAGGGAAUCUUCCGCAAUGGGCGAAAGCUUGACGGAGCAACGCCGCGUGAGUGAUGAAGGUCUUCGGAUCGUAAAACUCUGUUACUAGGGAAGAACAAAUGUGUAAGUAACUAUGCACGUCUUGACGGUACCUAAGCAGAAAGCCACGGCUAACUACGU
RNAcentral lists this ribosomal RNA (496 nucleotides) under uncultured bacterium. RNAcentral's name for it is "partial 16S ribosomal RNA". It matches the Rfam family "Bacterial small subunit ribosomal RNA", at positions 28 to 506 of the family's 1533-position model. The record is from RNAcentral.